This 1072-nucleotide ribosomal RNA is filed under the name uncultured Hydrogenobaculum sp. RNAcentral describes it as "bacterial SSU rRNA". It matches the Rfam family "Bacterial small subunit ribosomal RNA", at positions 168 to 1216 of the family's 1533-position model. Lineage: Bacteria; Pseudomonadati; Aquificota; Aquificia; Aquificales; Aquificaceae. The record is from RNAcentral.
ACCCUAUAUUGCCUUUUGUCACUAAGGCAAAAGGUGAAAGCGAGGCUGUCAAAGGCUUCGGCUCAAAGAGGGGUUCGCGUCCUAUCAGGUAGUUGGUGGGGUAAUGGCCUACCAAGCCAAUGACGGGUAGCUGGUCUUAGAGGAUGAUCAGCCACAGUGGGACUGAGACACGGCCCGCACCCCUACGGGGGGCAGCAGUGGGGAAUCGUGGGCAAUGGGCGCAAGCCUGACCCCGCAAUGCCGCGUGAGGGAAGAAGCCCUUCGGGGUGUAAACCUCUGUCAGAUGGGAAGAUGGGACUAGGGGCUAAUACCUCCUGGUCUUGACGGUACCAUCAGAGGAAGGGACGGCUAACUACGUGCCAGCAGCCGCAGUAAUACGUAGGUCCCGAGCGUUGCGCGAUGUUACUGGGCGUAAAGCGUCCGUAGCUGGUUUCGUAAGCGGAUUGUCAAAGCCCGAAGCUCAACUUCGGCAGGGCAUUCCGAACUGCGUUACUUGAGUCCUGUUCAGGUAGGCGGAAUUCCCGGUGUAGCGGUGAAAUGCGUAGAUGUCGGGAGGAACACCAGUGGCGAAGGCGGCCUACUGGGACGGUACUGACGGUCAUGGACGAAAGCUGGGGGAGCAAACCGGAUUAGAUACCCGGGUAGUCCCAGCCGUAAACGAUGGAUGUUAGGUGUAGUGAUAACUUCGCUGCACCCCAGCUAACGCGUUAAACAUCCCGCCUGGGGAGUACGGGCGCAAGCCUGAAACUCAAAGGAAUUGGCGGGGGCCCGCACAACCGGUGGAGCGUCUGGUUUAAUUCGAUGCUAACCGAAAAACCUUACCAGGGUUUGAAAUGGUAGGAAAGGCUGUCGAAAGAUAGCCGUGUUUCCCUUUUGGGAGAAAUCCUACCACAGGUGGUGCAUGGCCGUCGUCAGCUCGUGUUGUGAGAUGUUGGGUUAAGUCCCGCAACGAGCGCAACCCUUGUCCUUAUUUGCUUCCUCUUAUGAGGUGCUCUAUAAGGAGACUGCCGGCGACAAGCCGGAGGAAGGAGGGGACGACGUCAGGUCAGUAUGCCCUUUAUGCCCUGGGCUA